AUAACAAUGAUUCCCCUAGUAACGGCGAGUGAAGAGGGAAUGGCUCAAAUUUAAAAUCUCUUUUGAGAAUUGUAGUUUAAAGAUUUUUAAGUAUGGAAGUUUAGAUUAAAGUCUGCUGGAAAGCACGUGCUAGAAAGGGUGAUAGCCCCGUUCAAUCUUUAACAACCUAAUCAACUUUUUAAUCAAAGAGUCAGAUUGCUUGGGAAUGCAGUCUAAAUUUGGUGGUAAACUCCAUCUAAAGCUAAAUAUUGAUCAGUGACCGAUAGCAAACAAGUACCGUGAGGGAAAGAUGAAAAGAACCUUGAAAAGGGGGUUAAAAGUACGUGAAAUUGUUAUUAGGAAAGCACUUGUUAUUAUUGUGGACUAGUUUCAGUCUGUUUCGGCAGAUACUGGGCUAGUUAGUUAUGAUUAGUUAGAGUAGAUUUAAAAAAAUAAUUGGAAGGUAGUCGGGUAAACCAACACUUACAGACUUUUAUAAUAAAUCUAUUCUGACUAAGGAAAGCGAUUAAAAUUUAAUAGUAUUAAAGGUUAAUUGAGAUUUGUUAAGCCAGUUUACUGAUUAAUAAAUUAAUUUUGUCUUUAGUUUUAAUAAACUUAAUCAAGGAUCAUAAUUAAAUAAUACCAAAUGACCCGUCUUGAAACACGGACCAAGGAGUCUAACAUGAUUGCAAGUUAUAAGGUGAAAAACCUUUAAGCGAAAUGAAAGUGAAAAUGAUAAGAUUUUUUUGCACUAUCAACCUAACUUGAUGAUUUUUCUGACAGUUUAGAGUAAGAGCAGUUAUGCUGGGACCCGAAAGAUGGUGAGCUAUGCUUGAAUAGGGCAAAGCCAGAGGAAACUCUGGUGGAGGCUCGUAGCGAUUCUGACGUGCAAAUCGAUCGUCAAAUUGAGCAUAGGGGCGAAAGACUAAUCGACUCCUC
This 918-nucleotide ribosomal RNA is filed under the name Conidiobolus iuxtagenitus. Its description in RNAcentral is "eukaryotic LSU rRNA". It matches the Rfam family "Eukaryotic large subunit ribosomal RNA", at positions 65 to 944 of the family's 3401-position model. The record is from RNAcentral. Lineage: Eukaryota; Fungi; Entomophthoromycota; Entomophthoromycetes; Entomophthorales; Conidiobolaceae.